ACGGGUGAGUAACACGUGGGUAACCUGCCCAUCAGAAGGGGAUAACACUUGGAAACAGGUGCUAAUACCGUAUAACACUAUUUUCCGCAUGGAAGAAAGUUGAAAGGCGCUUUUGCGUCACUGAUGGAUGGACCCGCGGUGCAUUAGCUAGUUGGUGAGGUAACGGCUCACCAAGGCAACGAUGCAUAGCCGACCUGAGGGGGUGAUCGGCCACACUGGGACUGAGACACGGCCCAGACUCCUACGGGAGGCAGCAGUAGGGAAUCUUCGGCAAUGGACGAAAGUCUGACCGAGCAACGCCGCGUGAGUGAAGAAGGUUUUCGGAUCGUAAAACUCUGUUGUUAGAGAAGAACAAGGAUGAGAGUAAAACGUUCAUCCCUUGACGGUAUCUAACCAGAAAGCCACGGCUAACUACGUGCCAGCAGCCGCGGUAAUACGUAGGUGGCAAGCGUUGUCCGGAUUUAUUGGGCGUAAAGCGAGCGCAGGCGGUUUCUUAAGUCUGAUGUGAAAGCCCCCGGCUCAACCGGGGAGGGUCAUUGGAAACUGGGAGACUUGAGUGCAGAAGAGGA
RNAcentral lists this ribosomal RNA (569 nucleotides) under uncultured bacterium. Its description in RNAcentral is "bacterial SSU rRNA". It matches the Rfam family "Bacterial small subunit ribosomal RNA", at positions 102 to 658 of the family's 1533-position model. The record is from RNAcentral.